GAUGAACGCUAGCGGCAGGCUUAAUACAUGCAAGUCGUGGGGCAGCAUGAGUAGCAAUACUUGAUGGCGACCGGCAAACGGGUGAGGAACACGUACACAACCUUCCUUCAAGCGGGGAAUAGCCCAGAGAAAUUUGGAUUAAUACCCCAUAAUAUAUUUGAUAAGGCAUCUUAUUAAAUAUUAAAGCUUCGGCACUUGAUGAUGGGUGUGCGGCUGAUUAGAUAGUUGGCGGGUAACGGCCCACCAAGUCUACGAUCAGUAGCUGAUGUGAGAGCAUGAUCAGCCACACGGGCACUGAGACACGGGCCCGACUCCUACGGGAGGCAGCAGUAAGGAAUAUUGGACAAUGGACGAAAGUCUGAUCCAGCCAUGCCGCGUGAAGGAUUAAGGUCCUCUGGAUUGUAACUUCUUUUAUAUGGGACGAAAAAGGGCAUUCUUGUUCACUCGACGGUACCAUAUGAAUAAGACACCGGCUAACUCCGUGCCAG
Molecule: ribosomal RNA, 488 nt
Filed under: uncultured bacterium
Lineage: Bacteria
Description: bacterial SSU rRNA
Rfam family: Bacterial small subunit ribosomal RNA
Source: RNAcentral